CCUACGGGAGGCAGCAGUGGGGAAUAUUGCGCAAUGGGCGUAAGCCUGACCCAGCCAAGUCGCGUGAGGGAAGACUGCCCUAUGGUUUGUAAACCUCUUUUGUCAGGGAGCAAUUGGCGCUACGUCUAGCGUUAUCGAGAGUACCUGAAGAAAAAGCAUCGGCUAACUCCGUGCCAGCAGCCGCCGUAAUACGGAGGAUGCGAGCGUUAUCCGGAUGUAUUGGGUUAAAGGGGUGCGUAGGCGGAAUGCCAAGUCAGCGGUAAAAUCGCGGGGGUAAACCUCGCUCCGCCGUUGAAACUGGCGUUCUUGAGUGGGCGAGAAGUAUGCGGAAUGCGUGGUGUAGCGGUGAAAUGCGUAGAUA
RNAcentral lists this ribosomal RNA (361 nucleotides) under uncultured bacterium. RNAcentral's name for it is "partial 16S ribosomal RNA". It matches the Rfam family "Bacterial small subunit ribosomal RNA", at positions 338 to 696 of the family's 1533-position model. The record is from RNAcentral.